This 80-nucleotide transfer RNA is filed under the name Opisthorchis viverrini. It matches the Rfam family "tRNA". From Rfam's summary of the family: Transfer RNA (tRNA) molecules are approximately 80 nucleotides in length. Their secondary structure includes four short double-helical elements and three loops (D, anti-codon, and T loops). The record is from Rfam by way of RNAcentral. Lineage: Eukaryota; Metazoa; Platyhelminthes; Trematoda; Opisthorchiida; Opisthorchiidae.
AACGGGGUAGCUGAGUGGUUAAGGCUAUAGAUUGCUAAUCCAUUGGGGUUUCUCCGCGUGGGUUCAUCCAAUCCCCGUCG